AUGAACGCUGGCGGCGUGCCUAAUACAUGCAAGUCGAGCGGCAGCGCGUCUAGUUUACUAGAUGGCGGCGGGCGGCGGACGGCUGAGUAACGCGUGGGAAUCUGCCCCAAAGUGAGGGAUAACUGCCUGAAAAGGUAGCUAAUACCGCAUAUGAUCUUCGGAUUAAAGCAUUUAUGCGCUUUGGGAGGAGCCCGCGUCGGAUUAGAUAGUUGGUGAGGUAAAGGCUCACCAAGUCUACGAUCCGUAGCUGGUCUGAGAGGAUGAGCAGCCAGACUGGGACUGAGACACGGCCCAGACUCCUACGGGAGGCAGCAGUAAGGAAUCUUCCACAAUGGGCGAAAGCCUGAUGGAGCAACGCCGCGUGCAGGAUGAAGGCCUUCGGGUCGUAAACUGCUUUUAUAAGUGAAGAAUAUGACGGUAACUUAUGAAUAAGGAUCGGCUAACUACGU
This 449-nucleotide ribosomal RNA is filed under the name uncultured bacterium. RNAcentral's name for it is "bacterial SSU rRNA". It matches the Rfam family "Bacterial small subunit ribosomal RNA", at positions 29 to 506 of the family's 1533-position model. The record is from RNAcentral.